This 209-nucleotide ribosomal RNA is filed under the name uncultured Leptolinea sp. Its description in RNAcentral is "partial 16S ribosomal RNA". It matches the Rfam family "Bacterial small subunit ribosomal RNA", at positions 1175 to 1382 of the family's 1533-position model. Lineage: Bacteria; Bacillati; Chloroflexota; Anaerolineae; Anaerolineales; Anaerolineaceae. The record is from RNAcentral.
UGGGAUGACGUCAAGUCAGCAUGGCCUUUAUAUCCUGGGCUACACACACGCUACAAUGGGCCAACACAAUAGGUUGCUAAGCCGCGAGGUGGAGCCAAUCCAUAAAGUUGGUCUCAGUUCAGAUUGUAGGCUGCAACCCGCCUGCAUGAAGAUGGAGUUGCUAGUAACCGCAGGUCAGCUAUACUGCGGUGAAUACGUUCCCGGGGCUU